CAAAAGAAAAAAUGUAGCUUUACUGACAUCUAUUUGUAAAAUAUAUUAUGAUAUAUGAUGAUUUAUCUACGGAUUCCCCAUCAUUUAAACCAUAAAUGAAAUUUGAAGUAACUGAAAAAAUGUAAUCGGAAUGGAAGUCAGACAAAACGUUACUGAUUACCAAUGUCCGUUCAGGAUAUCCAAAAGGUGCGCAUAUAGUAAAUUCCUAAGAAAGUAUAGAUCCUACUGUGAUGACAAACUUACCCAGCUCGCUUCGAUCUACCAUGAAGAGAACUGUUCCAAUCCAACGCAAAAUACUAAACAGCUGAUUUUAUUUAUUAUUAGUAAACAUUUACUAUUAAGGCAUUGUCUGAUAUCAUAAUUUUAUUUAUUUUUACAGUAAAUCUGAGUCUGUUAUGUGCAGUAUGAUUGAAGGAUACUUAAUUGUCUAAGGUUACUGAUUAUCAAUGUCCGUUCAGGAUAUCCACAAGGUGCGCAUAUAGUAAAUUCUUAAGUAUAGAUCCUACUGUGAUGACAAACUUACCCAGCUCGCUUCGAUCUACCAUGAAGAAGAACUGUUCCAAUUUAGUUAUUAAAUUAAGGAUUAGUUAUUGUGAAAUUGACCUCAUUAAUUUUUGUCUAUAGCGUGAAGGCUGAGAUCCAUAUAUAUAUAGCAGUGAAUUAAUGAUGAACGAUUUUAUAAAUAUAAAUCAUGUAAAUCAUUUAUAUUAAGAUGGUAGAACUAAUAAAUUGAAAUUUAGUAUAUAUAGUAGCGUACGUGAUCAGAACUAUGUAUAAUACCAAAGUUUCGUCUUUUUCUUAUAUUUAGAUAAUAUCCCACUUAUUUGAAGCACAUGGGCGACUUUACGCAGGUUUAAAUUGUUGAUAUAUUAAAAUACAAAUUAUUGACAUAUAAACCUUUAGUUGAAUAAAGUUAUUUUAUCGUCAUAAGUUUAAAUCUAACUAUAAGUGGAGGUCUGGUCCUGCUUAAGUCAAAUUUUGUUUCAAAUAUAUCGGUAUUAUUCCAAUUUA
Drosophila mojavensis is the source of this 1011-nucleotide long non-coding RNA. RefSeq lists it as uncharacterized. The transcript is spliced from 3 exons. Lineage: Eukaryota; Metazoa; Arthropoda; Insecta; Diptera; Drosophilidae. The record is from RefSeq and is a predicted model, not a curated record.